Molecule: long non-coding RNA, 3326 nt
Filed under: Marmota monax (woodchuck)
Lineage: Eukaryota; Metazoa; Chordata; Mammalia; Rodentia; Sciuridae
Source: RNAcentral
CUUGGGACUAUUAAGAUCUACCAUAUUUACAUAGGGCAGAAGAUAAGAUUAUUGGACUGACUACUAGUCCUCUUCGGGGCAACAAGACGACUCUUCCUCAUUGAAGCUACCUGUGCACCGGAGACGCCCCUAAGGCACAAAGGGAGGACUUUCCCACCAGGUCAGUUAGAGCACAGUUCCCACAAGUGGACAGACAGACGUGAAGCAAGUCUUGCAGUUAACAAGAUGGACAUUGCUUUGUGUAUUUUGCAAGUGUUGGACUGAAUGUGCUCCUUUAAAUAGGUGUCCUUUCCAUACCAUAUUUUUAUUUCCAUCCCUCUCUCCCAGUUACAUGGUGUUAUGUUUAAUAAUUGUUCAGAAUCGGUAUAGAGUUCUGCUUCUCUUCCAACAUCUUUCUUGUGACCUGUGCUAGAUCACCUUUUAGUUUUAAGGGGAAAAACAAUUUUUCUAGAAAGUUUAUAGUUUGCUCUAGCAUUUUCUGUAGAAAUCUUUUGGGAGGUGGUAUUUAGAACUGAAAAAACUAGAAUGUACUUGUUCUGUGUACCACUUUUGCCUGUAACCUGAAGUUUCACCCUUCCAAAGAAAAUAGAGGAAAAAGCUGGAAUUUAUUUAUUUUCAUUCUUUUUUUGUGUCUGGAAAAAGUUUUAAUUUCUCCUUUUGUUAAAGCAACUCUCGAUGGCGUAUAUUUCCUUAUUAGCAAAGCACAGAAGUUGAGUUGACUUGGAUUGGGAUUUGAUAUCAGUUUUCUUACCUUAGGCUUGUUCCUCUUGAAUAUUUACAUAUAAUCUUUUGCAUUUAUAAAUACUUGAUGGGUGAACAUGCCAAUUAAACAUGGAAUUUGUGCCUUUUGUGAUUAAUAUUUUUACCCUUUUAAUGUAAUAAUUUAACUUCAUUAUGAACACAGUUUUGAAUGCUUUUAUACCCUUGCUUUCUGAUAUUUCUUAUUCAAAAUCUGCAAUAUCUUGAAUUCCCCUUCUUACUCCCUCCUCCAUAAAUACAAAUUGUAUCCUUUUGGUUAAUUCGGUUACUUGCAGUGUGUGGGAAAUGAUUGUCUUUCAUAUCUCUAUUGUUUCACUUUUAAAGAGUAAUGUAUUUACUGCACUUUAAAAUCUAUGGUUAAUGUCUUCUUUUAUGGCAGAAAAGAGGGGAUCUGAUGAUAAAAAAAGUAGUGUGAAGUCCAGUAGUCGAGAAAAACAGAGUGAAGAUCCAAACACUGAAUCGAAGGAAAGUGAUACUAAGAAUGAGGUCAAUGGGACCAGUGAAGACAUUAAAUCUGAAGGUGACACUCAGUCCAAUUAAAACUGAUCUGAUAAGACCUCAGAUCAGACAGAGGUAAGUGUAUUGUUUCUCACUUUGAUUAGGGCUUUUUGUUACUGUUUGACAGUGCAGCGUAAGUAUGCACAGAUGAAGAUGGAACUAAGCCGAGUAAGAAGACAUACAAAAGCAUCUUCUGAAGGAAAAGACAGUGUAGUCCUGCAAAACAUUUUGAGGUACAUUGUUUUGUCUCAGCUAUUUUGUAGCAGACUCGUGUCCCCAUUAGUGUGCCUCUUUGGAAAUUAUUGCCCACCUUUGUAAUGUAGUCGCCAUUAAAAAGUUAAUUAUCCUUUUUUUUAGGGAUUUUGCUGUCAUUUCUUUUUUUUUUUUUUUUUUUUUUUUUUUUUAAUAAAAAGGUUGAACUGUUUUUUUAUUAUUAUUAUUAUUUUUUGGUAUUAAGUCCAUCUUGUGUUGGUACAUUGGCAGAAACAUAUGCUUUAAAAACUUAAAUAUUUCUGAGGCACAUGUUGGACUACUUUGUUUUAAUUAAACUGCUAGUAUUUCUUUGUCAAGGAUGUUUCUAGUUUUUUUGCUUUAUUGCCUUGCAUUCUAAUGCAGUUUGUUCUGUAACUCGAGAGCCAGUAGCAUUGGAUUGAUGGAAGUGUAGGGUUUAUGAAUUAUUGCAGCUGACUACCAUACCUCACACAGCGUUGGUGUUGUGAGCGGCCCAUGAAAAGCCAAAUUAAAAAUCAAGGAUUCAGUCAAACUAAGCAGGUACUCAUGCCAGGUACUCCUUUCUCUACCCACAUCCAUGUUUGAAUGCUAUUGCCUGUGAUCUUUACGCUUAACUGUUGUGUAUCUUUUUUGUUCUUUAUAAGAAGCACAGAGGGGUUUUUGUGUAUUGCGUGAAAAGUUAUAAAUCAAAUGUUAACAGAAUGGAAUUUUUUUUCAACUGUGUGUAGGGAUGCAGUGGUGCCCAGAAUUAGAUAUCUUUAAAGAAAUUUAAAUACAAUAAACACUUCAUAUUAUUCGCCUUGUUACAUUCAAUGCAAUUCUCAAGUCUUUAAGAGGUAUGUGCUUAAUAUUUCCUACUUUGUAGGAGAAUUUGCAGUCAGCCAUAGGUGUAUAGGAAUAGUUACUGGCUGAUAUGUUUAAAGCAGCAGUGAAUAGGAAGGACAGACAACUUCAAUCUGUGACAUGCAAAGAAUUGUUGAACUGUAUAGAAUGAAUUUGGGUUUUUAAAGAACUAUUAAGUUAGGUUUUGUAAGUGUUCUUAAAACCUCUAUAAACUGUUCAUUCUUUGGGCUAGUGGUGUGGGAUGAAAUAUUCCUAAUAAAAGGAAGUACCAAUUAGUUGAUUUGUUGAUGGCAUUCCUUUUCUAGGAAAGCAGUUUAGAGUUUCUGUGUGAGCUAUUCACACAUAGGCAUGCAUACACAGGCACAUGGCUUUAAGAACCACACUGAUGCCUUAACUGUUAAAAAGAUACAAACAUUUCAUAUACACGUUUAAUAUAAUUAGCAGUUAGUGACUGGGCCAACACUUUGUCAUAAAAAUUUGCCUUUUAUAUGCUGUCUAAUUAUCAUUUUUCCCCAAAUUUUGCAUUGUAGGACUACUGUUCGAAGAUUUUUUGAAGAAUACUGAAAACGGCAUAAAGUGAAGAUCGGCAUUAAAAUGAGGUGAAAGAAAGCUAUAGUGGCAUAGAAAAAGUAUAAAAAGCUCAGUUAGUGUUUUUUUUUUAUUUUAUUUUAAUUAAAAAUUAAUUCAGGACUGAUGUGACCUUCCAGAUUUCAGAACAUGUGUUAAUAGCAUAUAUGCCACUGAAAAUUUAGGUCCUGUAUCAUAAUUUUUCUUUAAGACUUUUUAAGAUAUUACCUAAACAUGUGGCUUGCUCAGUGUUUAAUUGCAAGUUUUCAUUCUUGGACUUUGAAAACAGGAUUAAACGUUAGUAUUCGUGUGAAUCAGACUAAGUGGGAUUCCAUUUUUACAACUCUGCUAUACUUAGCCUUUGGAUAUAGAAGUAAAAAUAAAGUAUCUCUGACUUUCUGUUACAAAGUUGACUGUCUGUGUCAUUG